GUUAAAGGGAGGAAGUCCAUGUAAGGCUUGGUGUGGAGCCAGCAGGUUGCCAGACCUACCACUCCCCUCACUCCUGCCUGCAGUCUGCCACAGUAUAUACCAACAUUUUCAGUCGAUUCGGAACAUAGACUGCGUCAAUCAAACCUGCUCCAUCUCAGGGAUGGAACCCACCUCGUUCCGUCCACGGAGCUCAAACACGACAUCCUCGAGAGGCUAGCGGAGACCAUAGAUGCCUUGAAAGCAUAUAUAACAAAUGCUGAAUUUGAAGCUGUUGCCUCAGCACUGGUGCGAGCACUCCCAUGUCUCGAAGAACAAGGAUCAGUGUCCGGCUGGAGCGGUUGGAAAAACAGCUUGACAUUCAAGAUGGGGAAUUAACGAAACAAAAAUGCGUCAGCGGGGUUACCGUGAUGUCACCAUGAACGGCGGUAAACAUGGAAAGUACUCUCCUUGUGGAGAGCCACCUAACAAGAGAAUCAUGAAGCCAAAGAGAGGAGAAGUCAAUUACUUACCAGAUUAUCCAGAUGGGCAGGAUGACUCGAGCCUGCUGAAGAUGCUCGACAGCUCAUGGUGGAUGAAGUGAAAAGGAUAACCCCAAAUGGAGCCCUCACCAAGCAGAAGAUGGAUCUGACAUUCGCUCUUCGAAGGGAUGAAGUUGUGAAGGACAAGCCUGACAUUACCCAGAUAUGUCAACGUUGGUCAGCUCUCUUUACUGAUCACCAGCAGGGUGGUUGGUAAGAGCCUAAGGCAGGAGUUCUACGAGGCCCUUGACCAUCACAGUCCCAGGCUCAUGGAAAACUUCAAGGCAAAGAGGGGCCUCACAGGGCAGGUCUUGGCUGACCUGAUGCGACAAACAAAGGCUUCGGAUGACAGAAGUGAGAUGCCUUGUCCUCAGGGGGCUUCCUGUCAUUCUUGGCGAUGAUCCAUCCACCUUCUUCAAGGCCUGCUUUGUAAGCAACUUUGAUUUUUCUCUAUCUCCCUUUGCCCCCCUCCCCUCCUCUCUCCCUACUAGGGGUGUGAACGGGUACAAUUAUAUAUUUUUUUUAA
This is a long non-coding RNA of Gadus morhua (Atlantic cod), 1044 nucleotides long. RefSeq lists it as uncharacterized. The transcript is spliced from 3 exons. The record is from RefSeq and is a predicted model, not a curated record. NCBI's taxonomy places the organism in Eukaryota, Metazoa, Chordata, Actinopteri, Gadiformes, Gadidae.